This 517-nucleotide ribosomal RNA is filed under the name uncultured bacterium. Its description in RNAcentral is "bacterial SSU rRNA". It matches the Rfam family "Bacterial small subunit ribosomal RNA", at positions 8 to 518 of the family's 1533-position model. The record is from RNAcentral.
AGAGUUUGAUCCUGGCUCAGGAUGAACGCUAGCGACAGGCUUAACACAUGCAAGUCGAGGGGCAGCAUAAAAGUAGCAAUACUUGGUGGCGACCGGCGCACGGGUGAGUAACGCGUAUGCAACCUACCUAUCAGAGGGGAAUAACCCGGCGAAAGUCGGACUAAUACCGCAUAAAACAGGGACACCGCAUGGUGAUAUUUGUUAAAGAAAUUCGCUGAUAGAUGGGCAUGCGUUCCAUUAGGUAGUUGGUGAGGUAACGGCUCACCAAGCCGACGAUGGAUAGGGGAACUGAGAGGUUGGUCCCCCACACUGGUACUGAGACACGGACCAGACUCCUACGGGAGGCAGCAGUGAGGAAUAUUGGUCAAUGGGCGAGAGCCUGAACCAGCCAAGUCGCGUGAAGGAAGAAGGAUCUAUGGUUCGUAAACUUCUUUUGCAGGGGAAUAAAGUGCAGGACGUGUCCUGUUUUGUAUGUACCCUGAGAAUAAGGAUCGGCUAACUCCGUGCCAGCCGCGGC